Molecule: non-coding RNA, 88 nt
Filed under: Schistosoma japonicum
Lineage: Eukaryota; Metazoa; Platyhelminthes; Trematoda; Strigeidida; Schistosomatidae
Source: RNAcentral
CCAGUGAAGUAUAUUAACCCUAUACAAGCUCUCUACUCGAACAGUACAUGUCGAGUCAGAGCUUAUGGUGGAUUGUCAUCGGAACUGA